GCCGGGCGUGGUGGCGCGCGCCUGUAUCCCAGCUACUCGGGAGGCUGAGGUGGGAGGAUCGCUUGAGUCCAGGAGUUCUGGGCUGCAGUGCGCUAUGCCGAUCGGGUGUCCGCACUAAGUUCGGCAUCAAUAUGGUGACCUCCCGGGAGCGGGGGACCACCAGGUUGCCUAAGGAGGGGUGAACCGGCCCAGCUCGGAAACGGAGCAGGUCAAAACUCCCGUGCUGAUCAAGAAAGUAAAAGGCUCACACGGUUUUAUACCCUCUUCACUCAAACUCCAAAAGAUUGCAACUUUU
Molecule: signal recognition particle RNA, 295 nt
Filed under: Chinchilla lanigera (long-tailed chinchilla)
Lineage: Eukaryota; Metazoa; Chordata; Mammalia; Rodentia; Chinchillidae
Description: Metazoan signal recognition particle RNA (ENSCLAG00000021450.1)
Rfam family: Metazoan signal recognition particle RNA
About the family: The signal recognition particle (SRP) is a universally conserved ribonucleoprotein.
Source: Rfam by way of RNAcentral